Molecule: ribosomal RNA, 497 nt
Filed under: uncultured bacterium
Lineage: Bacteria
Description: partial 16S ribosomal RNA
Rfam family: Bacterial small subunit ribosomal RNA
Source: RNAcentral
GAUGAACGCUGGCGGCGUGCCUAAUACAUGCCAGUCGAGCGAACGGACGAGAAGCUUGCUUUUCUGAUGUUAGCGGCGGACGGGUGAGUAACACGUGGAUAACCUACCUAUAAGACUGGGAUAACUUCGGGAAACCGGAGCUAAUACCGGAUAAUAUUUUGAACCGCAUGGUUCAAAAGUGAAAGACGGUCUUGCUGUCACUUAUAGAUGGAUCCGCGCUGCAUUAGCUAGUUGGUAAGGUAACGGCUUACCAAGGCAACGAUGCAUAGCCGACCUGAGAGGGUGAUCGGCCACACUGGAAAUGAGACACGGUCCAGAAUCCUAAGGGAGGCAGCAGUAGGGAAUCUUCCGCAAUGGGCGAAAGCCUGACGGAGCAACGCCGCGUGAGUGAUGAAGGUCUUCGGAUCGUAAAACUCUGUUAUUAGGGAAGAACAUAUGUGUAAGUAACUGUGCACAUCUUGACGGUACCUAAUCAGAAAGCCACGGCUAACUACGUG